This 2472-nucleotide long non-coding RNA is filed under the name Haliotis rubra (blacklip abalone). RNAcentral's name for it is "uncharacterized LOC124267205". Lineage: Eukaryota; Metazoa; Mollusca; Gastropoda; Lepetellida; Haliotidae. The record is from RNAcentral.
AACACCUCUCUGUUUUGUUUUUGUCUCGUGAUUAAUGAAAAAGGCAGUUUAUUUGAAUUGAUGAUAAAAAAUUGACAACCCAAGGGUCCACUGCCAUGUUUGAAGAAUUAAUGAUGAACAAAUAUAUUAAUGUCAUGAUAAUGUACUAUUUUUCUGAACUAUAGAAAACAGUUCGCUAUAUUUUUCUUUAUCUCAACAUAUUUCUAACAAUAUGAAAAAUUCCUUCAAGUGCCAUAUUCUUGUCUGUGAUAUUUAGGAAUAGAGUUUGAAAAUCUUAACAACUUAAAUUUAAAAGAACCCACGAAUCCGUUGGUAUAUGACCAGAUGGUGGCCACAUGAACACCUAGUUGUGGGUACAGCACCGUGCUGUGAACUUGGACAAAGUACUGUGACUAUGUGUCCCAAUCCACCCAGCUAUGAAUAUAUAAAAAAAUAUCAAAAAUAUCUGACAGCUUUCCUUAUGAAGACUUGAAGAAAUAAUGUUUUAUGUUGACAUGGUCAAGUGCGUGGAGUGUACCGUUUUUAUAUUUUGCAGCAGAAGAUUGCUGUCAUUUCUUUUGCCUCAGCUUUAACAUUAAUAAUGAACAGUGCUUAAUACAUGUUUACAAGCGAUUCUUGCCCUCAUUGCUGGCCAUAAAUUUACAUUUCUAGGUCAGUUUAUACUUCAAUGCUUAAAACAUAAAUGAGGAAUGUUUCAAAAGAAGAAGGGAUGAGAAAAAAAUGUUCAGCUUCUGUCAUAGAAAAGAUUGCAUGUUAUGAAUGAAACAAAUACUUUGUAUCCAUCAAAUUGUUCAAGUUACCCAUAAUUUUUAAUGGUGGGUCGCUGUUAUGUUACUUCAGUUGGAUAAAAAGCAAUACAGCAUGUGAACUGUUGAAAGGGUAGCCAAGAGUGUUGCUGACACCAGAAGGGACAGCUAGCGUAGUCAAUGAUCAUAAUGUUAACUCAAGAUUGUAGCAUUUCUCAUGUUUUACCAUCACUAUAGAUGUAUUUUUUCACAUUUACGGGGGUUGUGUGUUUUCAAACAUACCAGAAUCUACAACGAUGAUAUUAGGAUAUAUGUUACACAAUGAAGCAUUAUUUUACAUAUAACCAGUGUUACAGGUUUGUAUGUGUGAUGUGCAUGUGGUGGGAAUCUGGUCUUGGGAUGCAGCUGACCUAGAUAACAUUGAUGUACAUGUAGAUGGUAUAUGUCCAAAUUGCAGAUGAAGAUAGUCAUGGUUGAUGUCUUGGUAUUGAUAAUUCUGUAGCGUGUUUGCACUGGUUUGUAACACAUUAGAAACGCCAGAUUUCAAGUUGAUGGAAUAUAUAAUUAUUCUGUGAUGACUAUUUUCAUAAUUUUCUGAAGUGAUAACAGUAUAAUAUUACCAUGAAGCACCCUUGGAACCAACAGUUCCACUGAAGUAUCACAUGUCAAACUCUUCCAGUACACAGUAUAUCAGAUGCAUGUAAUCAGUAGCCAUGGAUGAAUUAAUUUUAGUUUUGCAAGACUGUCAAGAUUUUAAUUGACUUACAGUUCCUAAAAAUGUUUUUAGGUAAAAUCUGACAAAAGUUUUAAUAACUGGUUUGACACAAUUAAAAUAUCAAUGUAAGAUAAUAUUUAGUCUCGAGGAUUUGUUGAAACAGAUUUAAAAAAUUCCCCACAGUUGUGAUGAUAAUUAUAGGAAUGAAAACAAUGCAUUUAUAUAUUUGACUGAGGCCAUGCAAUUUACUCAACAUUGUAAAACAUCAAACCAUCUAAAACAAACGAAUUUACUCAAAGACAAAAUAUUUCUGAUCAACAUCUAUUGUUUUCAAUUACCUCACAUAUGUAGUAUGAAGUGUUUCUAUAUGGAAUCUGUGUGUCAUGGUGUCUUGUUAGUGUCUAGUUGUUAUUCUGGAGGGAUGGCACCGGGGAGGUGUUUUUCUCAAGCAGUACUGUGAACUCGUGGUCUUUGUACUGCUUUUAGUAUUUUAGCAGUAUUGAAUUUUUGGAUUCAAACUUGGUUUUCUUCAUGUUAUCAAGUCACACUAACAAGAGGCCUACCCAGUAACUUUAAUAUGCUGUUUAUAAAAGCAUUGCCUCUGCAUGUUGUAAAGUAAGACCAUUUUCAAAGCAAUAUUAUGAUAUUCUAACAUAUAUUUAUGUUUUGUUUGUCUUUUAGGAUUUCAUUUCUUUUUGCAUUAGUUUUUAAUGAUUAAUUGUUCUAGUGCUAUGGUAAAGAUCUAUCUUCCCAGAACACUUUUCUCAAGGACUCAUGUUGCAUAACCGGUAUCAAAUAGUGGUAUUUAUAAUCUGAUAUCUGUAAUACACACUCUGAAACUGUUUGGGAUAUAAUUUGAGUUUUUUAUUGUCCUUAUUAAUGUGCAGUUUACCAUGUUUUACCUAAGGGAUCAUGUCAAAACUUCAGUGAAGCCAAAAGGUUAAUUCUGUUUUGUUUAUUAACAUAAUUACUGUAUCAUUAUUUAAGCUUAUAAACUGCUUUUUACUUUUC